AGUGAACGCUGGCGGCAGGCCUAACACAUGCAAGUCGAACGGCAGCACAGUAAUAGCUUGCCCUUACGGGUGGCGAGUGGCGGACGGGUGAGGAAUACAUCCGAAUCUACUUUUUCGGGGGGGAUAACGGAGGGAAACUUACGCUAAUACCGCAUACGACCUACGGGUGAAAGCAUGGGAUCUUCGGACCUUGCGCGAUUGAAUGAGCCGAUGUCGGAUUAGCUAGUUGGCGGGGUAAAGGCCCACCAAGGCGACGAUCCGUAGCUGGUCUGAGAGGAUGAUCAGCCACACUGGAACUGAGACACGGUCCAGGCUACUAAGGGAGGCAGCAGUGGGGAAUAUUGGACAAUGGGCGCAAGCCUGAUCCAGCCAUGCCGCGUGGGUGAAGAAGGGCUUCGGGUUGUAAAGCCGUUUUGCUGGGAAAGAAAAGCAGCAGGUUAAUACCGCGCUGUUCUGACGGUACCCAAAGAAUAAGCACCGGCUAACUUCGUG
This 492-nucleotide ribosomal RNA is filed under the name uncultured bacterium. RNAcentral describes it as "partial 16S ribosomal RNA". It matches the Rfam family "Bacterial small subunit ribosomal RNA", at positions 29 to 507 of the family's 1533-position model. The record is from RNAcentral.